CAAUAUAUAUUUUGUAAAGGUCUGACACGGGGGAUACUCUAAGCGAUACGUCUGGUGACAUCACAGACAUGGAUGCAGAACCAGACAGUGAUGUAGAGCAGGACUUGGACCAGAUGCUGGGAACAUGGCUCGGGGAACUGGAAACAAUUACACAGUCAAUUGAUGCAGACAUACAUGUAGGUCAGCAGAGCCAACCAGCCCCUCUGCCUCCCCAUCAGUCAACCCUUGGCUCAUUAGACAACUUCAGCUUCUCAGCUUUCCAGCUAGCUCGUAAGUUUCUGUUCUUAAUAUAUAGGCUUCCUUUU
Molecule: long non-coding RNA, 305 nt
Filed under: Strongylocentrotus purpuratus (purple sea urchin)
Lineage: Eukaryota; Metazoa; Echinodermata; Echinoidea; Camarodonta; Strongylocentrotidae
Description: uncharacterized LOC115925991, transcript variant X1
Source: RNAcentral